Molecule: non-coding RNA, 86 nt
Filed under: Candidatus Oceanisphaera merdipullorum
Lineage: Bacteria; Pseudomonadati; Pseudomonadota; Gammaproteobacteria; Aeromonadales; Aeromonadaceae
Description: TPP riboswitch (THI element)
Rfam family: TPP riboswitch aptamer (THI element)
About the family: Vitamin B(1) in its active form thiamin pyrophosphate (TPP) is an essential coenzyme that is synthesised by coupling of pyrimidine and thiazole moieties in bacteria. The previously detected thiamin-regulatory element, thi box was extended, resulting in a new, highly conserved RNA secondary structure, the THI element, which is widely distributed in eubacteria and also occurs in some archaea.
Source: RNAcentral
UGUUAGUCGGGGAGCCUUAAGCAGGCUGAGACGGUAAAUACCGGACCCGCUGUACCUGAUCCAGUUAAUGCUGGCGUAGGAAACUA